Molecule: ribosomal RNA, 675 nt
Filed under: uncultured bacterium
Lineage: Bacteria
Description: bacterial SSU rRNA
Rfam family: Bacterial small subunit ribosomal RNA
Source: RNAcentral
GCGGGAUAACCCGGAGAAAUCCGGCCUAAUACCGCAUGUGGCCGAGGGGAGGCAUCUUCUUUCGGCCAAAGGAGGCAACUCCGGAGACGGAUGGGCAUGCGUGACAUUAGCUUGUUGGCGGGGUAACGGCCCACCAAGGCGACGAUGUCUAGGGGUUCUGAGAGGAAGGUCCCCCACACUGGUACUGAGACACGGACCAGACUCCUACGGGAGGCAGCAGUGAGGAAUAUUGGUCAAUGGGCGAGAGCCUGAACCAGCCAAGUCGCGUGAAGGAUGACGGCCCUACGGGUUGUAAACUUCUUUUGUCAGGGAGCAAUUGAGUCCACGUGUGGGCUUAGCGAGAGUACCUGAAGAAAAAGCAUCGGCUAACUCCGUGCCAGCAGCCGCGGUAAUACGGAGGAUGCGAGCGUUAUCCGGAUUUAUUGGGUUUAAAGGGUGCGUAGGCGGAAUAUCAAGUCAGCGGUAAAAAUUCGGGGCUCAACCCCGUCGUGCCGUUGAAACUGAUGUUCUUGAGUGGGCGAGAAGUAUGCGGAAUGCGUGGUGUAGCGGUGAAAUGCAUAGAUAUCACGCAGAACUCCGAUUGCGAAGGCAGCAUACCGGCGCCCAACUGACGCUGAAGCACGAAAGCGUGGGUAUCGAACAGGAUUAGAUACCCUGGUAGUCCACGCAGUAAAC